AGCGAACGCUGGCGGCAGGCCUAACACAUGCAAGUCGAACGAACUCUUCGGAGUUAGUGGCGGACGGGUGAGUAACACGUGGGAACGUGCCUUUAGGUUCGGAAUAACUCAGGGAAACUUGUGCUAAUACCGAAUGUGCCCUUCGGGGGAAAGAUUUAUCGCCAUUGGAGCGGCCCGCGUCUGAUUAGCUAGUUGGUGAGGUAAAGGCUCACCAAGGCGACGAUCAGUAGCUGGUCUGAGAGGAUGAUCAGCCACAUUGGGACUGAGACACGGCCCAAACUCCUACGGGAGGCAGCAGUGGGGAAUCUUGCGCAAUGGGCGAAAGCCUGACGCAGCCAUGCCGCGUGAAUGAUGAAGGUCUUAGGAUUGUAAAAUUCUUUCACCGGGGACGAUAAUGACGGUACCCGGAGAAGAAGCCCCGGCUAACUUCGUGCCAGCAGCCGCGGUAA
This 449-nucleotide ribosomal RNA is filed under the name uncultured bacterium. Its description in RNAcentral is "partial 16S ribosomal RNA". It matches the Rfam family "Bacterial small subunit ribosomal RNA", at positions 29 to 523 of the family's 1533-position model. The record is from RNAcentral.